RNAcentral lists this ribosomal RNA (733 nucleotides) under uncultured bacterium TAYNAYA-7. RNAcentral describes it as "bacterial SSU rRNA". It matches the Rfam family "Bacterial small subunit ribosomal RNA", at positions 509 to 1243 of the family's 1533-position model. The record is from RNAcentral. Lineage: Bacteria; Pseudomonadati; Bacteroidota; Flavobacteriia.
CAGCAGCCGCGGUAAUACGGAGGGUGCAAGCGUUAUCCGGAAUCAUUGGGUUUAAAGGGUCCGUAGGCGGGCUAUUAAGUCAGUGGUGAAAUGCAGGCGCUUAACUCCGGCACUGCCAUUGAUACUGUCAGACUUGAAUUAUGGUGAAGUGGGUAGAAUAUGUAGUGUAGCGGUGAAAUGCUUAGAUAUUACAUAGAAUACCAAUUGCGAAGGCAGAUCACUAACAAUUUAUUGACGCUGAUGGACGAAAGCGUGGGUAGCGAACAGGAUUAGAUACCCUGGUAGUCCACGCCGUAAACGAUGGUUACUAGCUGUUCGGCGGCAUCGUCCUGAGUGGCCAAGCGAAAGUGAUAAGUAACCCACCUGGGGAGUACGUUCGCAAGAAUGAAACUCAAAGGAAUUGACGGGGGCCCGCACAAGCGGUGGAGCAUGUGGUUUAAUUCGAUGAUACGCGAGGAACCUUACCUGGGCUUAAAUGCAGAUUGACAGGCUUAGAGAUAGACUUUUCCUUCGGGACACUUUGCAAGGUGCUGCAUGGUUGUCGUCAGCUCGUGCCGUGAGGUGUCAGGUUAAGUCCUAUAACGAGCGCAACCCCUAUCACUAGUUGCCAGCGAGUAAUGUCGGGGACUCUAGUGAGACUGCCGGUGCAAACCGUGAGGAAGGUGGGGAUGACAUCAAAUCAUCACGGCCCUUACGUCCUGGGCCACACACGUGCUACAAUGGUAGGGACAGA